CUCAGUGGAUUGAGUGCAGACUGGGAACCAAAGUGUCCCAGGUUCACUUCCCAGUCAGGGAUCAUCCGUGGGUUGCUGGCCACAUCCCCAGUAAAGGGUGGGUGAGAGGCAACCAUACAUUGAUGUUUCUCUCCCUCUCUUUCUCCCU
Molecule: long non-coding RNA, 148 nt
Organism: Phyllostomus discolor (pale spear-nosed bat)
Lineage: Eukaryota; Metazoa; Chordata; Mammalia; Chiroptera; Phyllostomidae
Exons: 2
Source: RefSeq, a predicted model, not a curated record